UUGCUAGUUGAUAUUAUCGCUUCUGCUGAUUAAGCUUCAAUUCUUCACCCAAACAUUACAUUACUAUACAAAGUGAGAAUCGAAUUGAAGAAUGUCUUGUGUUGCUGUAAAUUCUCUUGUGAGGACGAUUGAGCUUGAGUUGUUGCAACCUCCGUCUCGCCCAAUCGUACGGCAAAAGCAACUCAUCCCUGGCAAUGAAAAGUUUAUCCAAAAUCUCCACCAGAAGCUCGGUGAUCUGAUAGAGCUGUUGGAUGAGAACAGGAUGGAUGCUAUCCAAGCUAUUAAAGACUUGGAAACUAAGCUCAGAGAUGUGGCUUUCCGAGUGGAAGAUGAAAUCGAAUUCCAAAUCGCACAUCUUUAUGAGGAAGAGGAAGAGUUACUUACAGUGGAAACACCACAGAGGACUAUUGAUGCAGAAGAAGAUCUUUUUGUGGAAAAACCACAAGGAGAAACUUGGCCUUCUUUCAAACUUGGUUGUAUUUUGGAAAGAGCAAUAAGAGACAUUGAUGCCAUCCAGAAAGAGUUGUCCGAAGUGAAGAUGGAGUAUGUCACAGCUGCAGCUUCUACCACAUGUUGUAGUGAUGGAGGAAUUGAUGCCAUGAUGGUGGUGGGGGAUUCCUCCCAUUACCAACCCCUGCAGGGCAGCAGAAUGGUGGGGAAAAACAAUGAGUUCCAAAUUGUAAAGGCGAUGCUAAUUGAGCAUUCAUCAAGGCAACGAGAAAUUGUCUCCAUUAAAGGUAUGGGAGGGAUUGGCAAGACAACAUUAGCUAGACGACUUUAUGAAGAUUCAUCAAUUGCCUCCCACUUUGACAAGCGAGCAUGGGUUGUUGCAUCACAAAAUCAUGAUAAGCUACAAAUACUCACAGAUCUUCUUAUAUCAAUGAGGGGUUGUGUAGAUAGUGACACUCAAGAGGAUCAGCUAGCAGAAAAACUGUACCAAAAUAUGAUGAGGCAAAGGUACUUUGUUGUGAUGGAUGACAUUUGGAGUGUCGAGGCCUGGGAUUCCGUUAAAGCUUGCUUUCCAAAUAAUGGAAAUGGCAGUCGAGUUUUGUUGACUACUCGCUCUUCAGAGGUGGCUACUAUUAUAGGCUCUAAAGAUGACUUUUCGCAUCAAAUGCAAUUGUUAGAAGAAGGUGAGAGUUGGAAUCUAUUUCAUGAAAAGAUAGGCAAAUCUCUGGGUUCUGAAUUCGAUAUGAUUGGGAGACAGAUUGUUGAGAAAUGCAAAGGAUUGCCUUUGGCAAUUAUUAUUGCUGCAGGUUUAUUUUCCAAACUUGAUACUCUAGAUGAGUGGAUGAAUGUUGCAGAAGCUUUAAAUUCAUCUACAACAACAACAACAAUUGAUGAAGAAUGCUCAAGGAUACUCUCAUCUAGUUACAAUCACUUGUCUCACAGUUUGAAGGCUUGUUUUUUAUAUUUGAGCAUAUUUCCGGAAGAUAAAGAGAUCCAUGUUAGAGAAAUCGUAAAGUUAUGGGUUGCCGAAGGACUUGUAAAGGGAGCCAAGGAUAUGAGCUUUGAUGCGGUGGCUAGAAGGCACGUUCAAGAACUCAAGGAUAGGAACCUAAUUCUUGUAAGUCAGCCAAGUAGUUGUGGAAGAAAAAUAAAGAAAUUUAGAAUGCAUGAUUUAUUGCAUUCUUUUUGUGUGAGGGAAGCUAAAAAGGAGAACCUUCUACAUGUUGUCUACAAAAAUGGGUCUAAUUUCCCUCCGAAAGAUUUCCGAUGGGUAAGCAUCCAAUCUGCAGAAAGGUUUAACGAACAAACAUUAUAUUCUUCUUUAAUAAACUGUCGAUCCAUCUUCGUUUUUUCCGGACAGUAUACAUCUUCAAAUUCAAAAAUUAGCCCCCUGUUAAGAGUACUCUAUAAUCAUACUUACUAUGAGAUUGGAUAUCUUGUCCAUUUGAGAUGCCUAUUGUCAAGGAAGCGAGCUUUUACCAUUUUAGAUCCAUUUCGUAGUUGGAAUUUUCAAACACUUUCAGCUUAUAGUAUUGAUAAAAUGAGCUUUUUAGAGUUCCCACAACUACAACAUUUGGGUAGUUACAUAGGACUGAGGGAUUUUCCCAUAUCUUUUCAUCAAAACUUGAAGAGCAUUUGUGGAUUGAUUCCUGAUCAAUGCACAAAAGAGUUAUUUACAAAAGUUCCAUACCUGAAGAAGGUAGAGAUUCUAUGUGAAGAUGGUUGGAGUGAUUGCAUUAAUAACGUUGCCUAUUCACACCAGCUCCAAAGUCUGCAUCUUCUUGGUACAUUAUUUGGGGGGUUGGUGAUUCCAAAUAUUAACCACCUUGUUUACUUGAAAAACCUUACGAGGUUGAGGUUUACGUACUUGACAUUUGAGUGGAAGGCAAUUAAUAUUCUUAGCAAGUUGUCUAAACUUGAGGUGCUAAGGCUAAGCCGUUGUUGGUGCAUUGGUGAGGAGUGGGAACUAUUGGAGGAGGAGAAUUUCGACCAGUUAAUUUAUUUGGAAAUUAAAACGAGGAAUUUUGAGCGUUGGGAAGCAAGUGCUUGUCAUUUUCCGAAGCUUGAGCGUCUAGUCCUUGCUUGCUGCAAAGAAUUGGAAAAGAUCCCAACUGAGUUUGCAGAAAUUCCAAACUUGAAGUCAAUCGAAUUGUAUGAAUGUCUUCCUUCUGCGGUGGAUUCUGCCAAGGAAAUUCAAAAAGAGCAACAUGGGCAAGGAAAUGAUAAUAUGGUUGUCAUUGACAAAAGCAUAAAAGAGCUUCACUCCAACUCUGACAGCGAAGAAGAUGAACUUGAGUCAUAGUUGAAUAAAAGCAAAAAAGGGAAACAAAUUUCUUCCCUAAUCAAUUGAAGUCAAGCAUUGAGAAGUUGGAGCAGUUGAGCAUGGAUUCAAGCCGACGGAAAAGGGGCAAAGGCACUCCGAAAUAUGCUCAAUCCAAAGAAGAGGAUUAGAACAAAGAAAACUCUUCAAGUGCCUGAAGUUGUGAGUGAACUAGUGAGAGCAGCUGUUACUGAACCAGUGAUAUAAGAGUCAUGAAUCAAUGAUAGAAGCAGAAGUGAUUGCAGUCAACACUUAGCCAGAAAUGGACUUUGAUUAAAUGAACAAUAUGUCAAAAUUCUUGUAGUUGACAGUAUGGUGGUGAAGGAGCCAGUUAAAGCAACCAAGAUUCCUUUCAUUUGAAAGAAAACUACUGCA
This is an RNA transcript of Ipomoea triloba (trilobed morning glory), 3145 nucleotides long. It is a transcript of the gene named putative late blight resistance protein homolog R1B-12, with no coding region annotated. The transcript is spliced from 4 exons. Lineage: Eukaryota; Viridiplantae; Streptophyta; Magnoliopsida; Solanales; Convolvulaceae. The record is from RefSeq and is a predicted model, not a curated record.